CAUUGAUUAGACUAUAAUAUAAUAUAUUAAAUACAUGAGGAUAUUACAAUAAUAGAAUGACAAUAUAGGGACAUAUAUUAAAAUAUAGGUAUUUUAACCUAAUUAAAAAAAAAAGACAAAUGUGAUUUUUUCCUUCAUUCUUUCAUUUAGGUAUCUACUGUGAAAGUUUAUAUACGAUACGUGUGGUUUUGUAAUGUGUACUGUGUAUCUUUGUAAGUUUUUACUAAAAAUUUAAAAAUCCCUGUGUCAUUUUAAAAAUAACUUAAAUUUGUUCAUAUAAAUUAUCCGUUAUUGUUGUUAUCGUGUGUCAUAUGCAUUAAUAUUACAUAAUAUUAUAAAACUGGUCGAUUGACCGUCCUUGUCAACCAUCACGGGCACUCACAUACGGCCGAUGUUGCCUGAAAUAACAUUACAUAGAUACCUUAUAUAAAAUAUAAUAAUUCUUGUUUCUAAGCAAAUAAAAUAUAUAUAUAUUUAGUUUAAAUGGUAAAAAUUAUUCUUUAAAAAAUAAUUAUUAGUUUUUACCUGACUAAUCACUAUUCUAAAACUGAAAAAACCUAAAAUACCUGUAUUUCUUUGGUUUUGUAUAGGGGUUUCGGUUUUGAUUAGGGUGUUUUACAAAUAUAAAAUACAGGUUACGGUUAUAUUCGAUUCUUUAAUUUACAAAAGGUUAUGGGUUCUAUAACCAGUUCUUUUUGGUCCGGUCUUAGUCCUUAGUCAAAAUCGCUAAAAUUAUUUCCUAAAUUAUCGUUGAUAUAGCAUCAAUAAUUUAAGAUCUAAAAAUGUAUAAUCUGAAUUAAAACAAACGACCCAAUUAAAAAAGUGCACAUACAUUGAAAAUAUGAACUUAUUAAUAAAAAAAUAAAAAAUU
Molecule: non-coding RNA, 871 nt
Organism: Cinara cedri
Lineage: Eukaryota; Metazoa; Arthropoda; Insecta; Hemiptera; Aphididae
Source: the annotation of a GenBank genome assembly